Non-coding RNA from Paramuricea clavata, 131 nucleotides. Lineage: Eukaryota; Metazoa; Cnidaria; Anthozoa; Malacalcyonacea; Plexauridae. The record is from the annotation of a GenBank genome assembly.
AAGCUCACUCACACUCGAUGAGUGGAGGUUCAAUCUGAGCUUCUCUCUGGUGUCAUUGCUGUUUUUCAAAAACAGCAUUGACACUCAAGAGAAGCUCAGAUUGAACCUCCACUCAUUGAGUGUGAGUGAGC